Molecule: ribosomal RNA, 1905 nt
Filed under: Triticum aestivum (bread wheat)
Lineage: Eukaryota; Viridiplantae; Streptophyta; Magnoliopsida; Poales; Poaceae
Description: partial small subunit ribosomal RNA
Source: RNAcentral
AUGCCAGAAGCUACGGAAGAAGCUAGAAUUAUAACCACAAGUUAUGACCGAGAGCCCGGGCGACGUCUUCAAAUUUGGGAACUUCCUCCUGACGAGUAUGGUGCUGUUAGGCGUUUUUAUAUAUCUAAAGGGGCUUAUCAACCAAUCUUAAAGCCAGAUGAGACAGGGGCUGGCCGUAGGCGAUUCCAAAGUGAUUGGUUCACAAAUCAUUUCUGGUUGGAGUAUUCACCUCUAAAAAAUCGUGCCUAUUGUUUGCCUUGUUUUCUCUUCUCAAAGAAGCCAAUUGGGAAGUGUGGUUCAGACACAAUCACAGUCACCGAAUUUGAUAAGUGGAAGAAAGUUAACAAUGGAAAAGAAUGUGCUUUUCUUAAACAUAUGGUCACUACUCCUAGUUCGGCUCGCAAUUUUGCAGUUCGGUGUUAUGAAAACUUGAGAAACAUAAUUAAUCAUGUUGAUGAGGUGAUGAAAAAGCAAACUAAGAAGCAGGUUCUUGAUGCAAGACUAAGGCUAAAGACUUCCAUUGAUGCCAUGAGGUGGCUAAUGUUCCAAGCAUGCCCCUUUAGAGGAAAUGAUGAGUCUGAGGAUUCCAAGAACCAAGGUAAUUUCAAGGAAAUGAUUAAGCUUUUGGCUUCUUAUAACAAGGAUGUACAUGAAGUUGUACAGAAUGCUCCAAAAAAUGCAAAGUACACCUCACCAACUAUUCAAAAGGAAAUUGCUAGCAUAUUUGCUGAAAAAGUGAAGACCUCAAUUGAAUAACUUGGUAAUAGCAAAUUUUCUAUCUUGGUUGAUGAAUGUAGAGAUGAGUCUAAAAAAGAGCAGAUGGCAGUAGUUCUUCGAUUUGCAAACAUAGAAGGGGUGAUAAGAUAACAUUUUCUUGAUCUUGUUCAUGUUAGAGACGUGCUAGCUUUGACUCUCAAGAACACAAUUAUUGCCGUCCUAGUUGAUAAUGGGUUGAAUGUGCAAGAUAUUAGAGGCCAGGGAUAUGAUGGGGCAAGCAACAUGGGGGAGUGGAAUGGGCUGAAAGCUCUAAUUCUCAAAGAGUGCCCUUAUGCAUACUAUAUCCAUUGUCUUGCACAUCAACUCCAAUUGGCUCUUAUUGCUACUUCAAGGGAGGUACAUGAGGUCCAUAAUUUUUUUCAGCAUGCAAAUUUCAUUGUUAAUACAGUUAGUGCAUCUCCCAAACGCAAUGAUGAGCUAUUAGAAAAUCAGGCUGCUAAAAUUGCUAUGCUAAGAAGUGUAGGAGCUGAUCAUUCACCUACAAGGAACUCAAGUGGUGAUGCUGGAGGUGCCCUGAAAAUCCUACUCACAUUUGAUUUUGUGUUCAUUCUACACUUAAUGGAAAUAAUCAUGAAAAUCACGGAUGUCUCAUGUCUCAAACUUCAACAUAAAUCUUUGGACAUUGCAAAUGCAUUAGAUUGUGUUUAUAACACAAAGGUGUUGCUUGAUGAACUAAGAGAAGAUGGAUGGGACAUCCUUUUUGAAGAUGUGAAAUCCUUUUGUGUGAAACAUGAGAUUGACAUCCCGUACAUGGAUCAAAACAUGACAACAGUUAUCCAUCAUUACAAAGUAGAUGUGUUUAAUGUUGCAGUAGAUCAACAAGUGACAGAGUUGACCGAUCAAUUCAGUUCUCAAGUUACUGAGCUUCUAGAUCUUUGUUCAUCAUUGUCUUCUGACUAUCCAAUGGUUGAUAUGUUGUUACGAUUGGUGAUAACUCUCCCGGUGUCAACUGCAAUAGCAGAGCGAGCCUUUUCUGCAAUGAAACUAGUCAAGACGCGGGUUCGAAGCAAAAUGGGAGAUGAUUUUCUUUGCCAUUGCACGCUAGUUUACAUUGAGAAGGAACUUGCAGCCAAGUUUAGCUCUGAAGAAAUAAUCAAUAUCUUCGAUACUGGUGCUCGUAAAGCAUAA